RNAcentral lists this ribosomal RNA (450 nucleotides) under uncultured Glomus. RNAcentral's name for it is "SSU rRNA". It matches the Rfam family "Eukaryotic small subunit ribosomal RNA", at positions 569 to 1023 of the family's 1831-position model. Lineage: Eukaryota; Fungi; Glomeromycota; Glomeromycetes; Glomerales; Glomeraceae. The record is from RNAcentral.
AGCAGCCGCGGUAAUUCCAGCUCCAAUAGCGUAUAUUAAAGUUGUUGCAGUUAAAAAGCUCGUAGUUGAAUUUCGGGAUCAGUUGAUCGGUCGUGCCUCGGUACGUACUGGUCAAAUUGAUUCCUACCUUCUGACGAACCACGAUGUCAUUAAUUUGGUGUCGUGGGAAAUCAGGACUGUUACUUUGAAAAAAUUAGAGUGUUUAAAGCAGGCUCGCGCUUGAAUACAUUAGCAUGGAAUAAUGAAAUAGGACGUUUGAUUCUAUUUUGUUGGUUUUCUAGGAUCGACGUAAUGAUUAAUAGGGAUAGUUGGGGGCAUUAGUAUUCAAUUGUCAGAGGUGAAAUUCUUGGAUUUAUUGAAGACUAACUACUGCGAAAGCAUUUGCCAAGGAUGUUUUCAUUAAUCAAGAACGAAAGUUAGGGGAUCGAAGACGAUCAGAUACCGUCGUAG